GUCAUCGCGAGGUGGGGUCUGAAGGAAGCCCAAUCCAAAGCGGCGGGGCGACGAACAGGAACCCGAUACGAGGUGUGGUACAUCCGGGGUGAGCGGGCACGUGACCGCGAAGCCCUCCUUCUGCGACCGGGGUGUACUUUAUAAAUCGGGCGUUUAUGCCGUGAAAGCUCUGUGC
This 175-nucleotide non-coding RNA is filed under the name Marinobacter nauticus. The record is from RNAcentral. Lineage: Bacteria; Pseudomonadati; Pseudomonadota; Gammaproteobacteria; Pseudomonadales; Marinobacteraceae.